CGUAAAGCCAGGAAGCAGAUGGACUUACUGUUUAGUAAACAUUCAAGCGGGCUUUGUCAAGUUGUAAAUUAACUUACCCUUGCGGUUCUGGUUGGAUAUUAAGGCUGAAGAUACAGUUUGGUGUUUUUACAUUCUCAGGAAGUGUCCGUUCACGCUGGACAAGCAUACGAUUGACCGUGUUUCUGUAAAUUUACUCCAGACCGGCUGUCAAAUCGGAGUUGGGUGUCUGACAACGUGCGCUUCAUGAUGUGAUGUUUUUGGAGAGUGGGGAUCUUUGACACUUCUUUCUCUCCAGAUGAAUGAAUGACGUGUAGAUAGGGUUAGCUGUGAUGUUACCCCGGCUUGUGAGAGUGAUGCAGACGAGACAUGUAGCAGGAGUGUUGCUAGCUGUCUCUUUGACAGCGAUCUUUGGUUGUCUUCACUUGCUGAGUGAAGUGGCUCGCCUCGAUGAUGCAAGGGUCAGAUUAGAGCGAGCAGUCACCAAAUUACAGCUGGAUAACAUGGAUAUUGCCCGGAGGCCAUUAUCAUUUGCCAAUGAUCAGGAACUGGCGGACAAUGAUAAUGAUGAUCUUAUCAUUAUAUACAACCGAGUUCCCAAGACAGGCAGUACAUCAUUUGCAGGCAUCGCGUAUGAGCUGUGCCAGAAAAAUAGAUUUCAUGUACUUCAUAUAAAUAUCACAAAGAAUGCUCGUACAUUUUCCUUGUCAGAUCAGAUGCGGUUCAUCACUAACAUCACCAGCUGGACAGAGAAGAAGCCUGCACUGUAUCAUGGUCACGUAGCCUUUAUUGAUUUCUCAAGCUUUGGUUUGCUGAAGAAGCCCAUAUACAUUAACAUAGUACGCGACCCCCUGGAUCGGCUGGUGUCCUACUACUACUUUGUGCGAUAUGGAGACGAUUUUAGACCCUCCCUCAAGCGCAGGAAAGCAGGCAACAAAGAGACAUUCGACGAAUGUGUCAAUCGGAAUGGGGAAGACUGUGAUCCUGGAAAUCUCUGGCUACAAAUUCCAUUUUUCUGUGGCCAAAACGCUGAGUGCUGGGUUCCUGGAAGUAGAUGGGCUCUGGAACAGGCCAAGCACAAUCUGAUCCACCAUUACCUUGUGGUGGGUGUUACGGAGGAGCUUGGUGACUUCAUUGCAGUGUUGGAGGCAACUCUACCACGCAUGUUCCGAGGGGCUGUCCAGCUGUACAACUCAGGUCGCAAGUCCCAUCUACGGAAAACCACCAAGAAGAUUGCUCCCAAACCAGACACCCUGGCCCGAAUUCAGGAGUCCCCAAUAUGGCGGAUGGAGAAUGAGUUUUAUGAGUUUGCUGUACAACAGUUUCAUUAUGUGAAGCAUCAGACAUUUGACCUCGUAGAUGGGGAAUAUGUUGAAAAGGGAAACCGUUUUACCUAUGAAAAAAUUCGGCCUAGAUGAAACUGACAUGAGACUCAUGUCAUCAUAAGCUAGAGAGAAUUUACAGAUUAUCAGGACUGAUUCAAGGGAAGAAAUACUCUACCAGGAAAUGGCAAUGCUGUUUAUGUCUCUUUGAGGAAGAUGUGCCGGAGGUUUCUACACUUACACAAAAAACGGAUUAAUGAAAUGUUCAACCAAAAAAUACCCCCUUUAUGAUGUUUUGUGAUUUUUCUUGGAAAUACAUAAACAAAGUAUGGCAAACAACAUGGUAUUCUGUGGAGGUUCUUCCACUACUUCAAUACAAUUUAUUCAAAAGGGCUUUAGACAGAACCCUGUAAGCUAUUAAUGAGGAUGAAAUUGUUCAAUUAAUGACUUCACUGUAUGGUGCAGAACCCUUGUCAGGUUUUCAGUUCCUUCAAAAACUUUCCUAUCCUGAUAUUUAACUCAGAAUAAUCCAACAGUGGUCAUACAGGGCAUUUAAAAAAUAUGUCAUAUGCUUGAUUACCAUGGUAACUGACCUCAAUGACUGAGUCAUGCCCCUGAAGCAGGAUCACAUAAAACAGACAUGGUGUAAUAUGUACAUAUGUUAACGGUUAAGAAUCCUGUCUCUUGUAAGUUCUCUUGCCAUCAACCAAUGAAGAUAGUGGAGAUACUGAAAGGAACCUCAGUUGAUACUGACUCAUCCUUGAUAAUCUCCAGGGUAUGCGUUCUGAUAAAUCUCCACUAGUACCCUGGAUGCAUCUAUGGCUUUUCAUCCAAUCAGGUGUACCAAUCACAAGGCUUCUAUCAUAACUCACUUCCCUAAAUCUGAGUCACACAGCGAGCAAGUGUUCGCAGCUGUCUUUGUUGACACUGGCAAGCUCGGUUGUAAAGGCUUAUCUGAUUGGCUACUGUGAAAAGGUGGAGCCAGCAAAGGGAGGUAAUACAAUUAUCGAGCCAUAGAUGCAUCCAGGGUACUUAGUGGAGAUUUAUUGUAACAUAUACCCAGGAGAUUAUCGAGGAUGAUACUGACUGGGCGUAUUUCCUUUAGUCGUUAUGGUCUGUCAUUAGUAAGUAAGUAUCACUUUCAGCUAUUGAGAAAGUAUGCUUGUGAUUUAUGCAGGUGAAGUCAGACCAACACUGGCAUUAGAGGGUGAAGGUAAUUUAAAUCCUAGGGGCUGGAUGUUUUUGUUUCAAGAUUUUACUGCUUUCUGUGACAGCUGCAGAAUUGAUUCCUGUUUUAAUAAUAAAUGUCAUAUUUUUAUUAUUGUGCAAACUGGCUAUGAAUAUUGCUAUAUUUAUCCUUGACACCAAUCAAUCGUUUAAGAGUUGACAAAAUCAUACAAGUCGCCAUUAACAAUGUUGCUCUGUGAAUAUUCAGUGAAUAACCAUUACAACACUGAUUAUAUGAAUAUUCAGUGAAUAUGCCAUUACGGUGUGUAUAUUCAUGUAAUAUUCCCCUGUCAUGCUGCCAUUGUCCACAUUCAGUGAAUAACCAAUUAUAACACUGAUUAUAUGAAUAUUCAGUGAAUAUGCCAGUUACGGUGAGUAUAUUCAUGUAAUAUUCCCCUGUCAUGCUGCCAUUGUCCACAUUCAGUGAAUAUACAAUUGCCACACUGUUACAUUUCAAAGAGCUAAGUUUGAUGGCAUUUUGUAGACAUCAGAUUGUUGUUGCCACUCGAUAACAUUCAAAUAGUUCUCUUUAGUGACAAAACCAAGUCAUGAUUUAUUUGUGUUGUCAUUUUGUUUUGAGGCCUGACAUUCAGAGCCUGGCCAGCCAGUACUGUCACAUGUGUGUUGGCAAUCAUCUGUAUGAUAUGCAUUUACUUAUAGUCCCUGGAGGAAUCCUAGAUACCGAGAUCGCAGAUUAAACGGAACUGAGAUUUCUUCCACCAGUUCCUUCAGGGGCUGGUUCCUAACUUUGAGGGUUACUUCAAGGGAUUGCUAUAAUAUGAUCUUGUGGCUUCGACUUGAAGCUGGAUGUCAUUCAGGAAAAUUGUAAUAUAACAGAACGACAACAAACAGCCGAAUGAAUAAUCGUUUGUUGAAGAAUGUAAAACAUUAGACUGUACCAAUCAUUAAAUGAGGUGAAGGUCAUUACAAGGUCAUGACCUUGUUUGAGCGUGGAAGAAGUGUGUAUAUUUACUACAAGAAGGGUUGUACAGGUGUUUAAUCUAAUGAAGAAAUGCAUUUUUGUUGGGUGUAUGUGAAUUAUGGGUGCGUGUAUGGCAAGUUGUAUGGGUGUACACAGGAGAGGUGGGAUUGUAAUGGUGACGGGACAGUUACGACAUGUAAUGUGAAGGUAGGAUGAAAGGUCACUGUAACACAAAUCCUCAAACAACAUCAUUGUACACUUGUCAUUUGCUGUAGUGUGAACCUUGAGAUAACAUUUGACACAUGUCAGGCACAUCCAUUUCAACUGGUUGACUGUCUUUGUUAAGGCGUAUGUAUUUCAAUAUUAAUAUUUCUGCAUACUUUGUCUUAAGUCCCUUGACCCUGACAAGUAAACGCCAAAUGGAGCUUAUAAAUGUGGUAGUCCUUAAAUCUUACCACUAAAUGCCAAAGGGAGAAUGGAGCUCGUAUUGUUAGAGGAAAAUCUGCUAUAUAUAAGAUUAAGACCUUGAGUGGUAAACUUACUUGAUAUUGAUGUUGUCCAAUAGUCCAUAUUCUGAUCAUCAAGUGAGUUUGUUCAAAUUGCCUCUGUUCACCCAGCAGAAAAUGGGUACCCGGUUGGAUAAGUCAUGUGACUAUAGCCUUCUAGCGCCUAACAGGCAGCUUGGGUUAUCCGGGGUAAUAAGAACCAGAUUCUGAUUAAGCGCCGCGAGCAAUCACUUGGUGUUUGGAACCGUGCGCUAUAAAAGAUGACUUAUCAUUAUUAAUAAUAUGAUUCUAGCUGCUGCUACAAAUGGCCUCCAUGGUUGUACGCAACUCUACUACAGAUACAAGACAGGUAUAUAAAGCACCAUAGAAGGUACUGGUGCCAAGAGCAGAUUGUAAGAUCAGUGCCACUUCCAAGAAUUCAACUCACAUGUUCAGACUAGUGAUGUUUCCAGAAUUUCUGCAAUGGUGAUAAUCCUAGAAAAGGACUUUUUUCUGUCAAAAAGUCCUCCAUAUCCACUAGGGGUGACUAUUGAGGGGGAAACAACUAUUGCGACAGACUAUUGCGACUAACUAUUGCAAUAGUUUUUUUUCUCCUUGAAUUGUCUCAUUUCAAGUCAUUUCUCAAAUGAAUGUAUAGUUUAUAUGAGAUAAAAACAAGUUGAAGUAGUUUCAGUUUCUUUUUAUAACUGACAAGAAACUUGAAACCUAGAUCAAGUAAACAGUUAAAACAUAAGCUUAUUGUUAUUGACAUUUUCAAACUCCAAGUCGCAUGCUGUGUUGCGACCAUGUUGGCUUAAGAGGUAACGGGUGGAUAACAAAGUGAACGAAUCUGUGCAUCAAUAGUUCUUCAUUUCUGCCAUUGAUUAAUUGCUAUCAGAGACCCAACAAUUGCAAUCUAUCGAUAGUUUGCUGCAUAGUUACAGCACUAAUAUCCACAGAGUACUAAUUCAGUACUAGUCCCUUGACGAGGCAGUGCAGGAGAGAUGAUUGUUAGGACAUGCUACUUGUGAGUUGAUUGAGGGUUUUUGUACAGGAUGAAUGGGUGUCUGAAUAUUUAAUUAUUGUGUACAUAUUUUGUGAAAUGUUGACCUAUAUCGAGACAGGACUUCUAGUUAGUAUUACCUGGAGAUGACAACACUCUGUGAUUCAAGGUCAGAUGUGACCCUUCUAAAAGCUUUAAGCCAAGUAAUGACCAUAUAUGGUAUCAGCAUGUGUUCACCUCUCGACUUUACCACUGUCCAUAAAACUUGCAUUUCAUGUUAUUUACUGAUGUAAGGUACAGUCAGUAUAUCUGUGUAAAGAGACAAUAAACAGUUCUACAUGGAAUCCAUGUAAACUGAUUCAAAUGCAAGUGUUGGUAGACAGCUUGAGUUUGAUUAUUUCAUUAUUGAAACAGAGAAACAACACUGACUAAUAAUACAUGGCCUGAUCUAUGAAGACUUUUAGACAUAUUUGGUAUGUUGUUAGGUAAGUAGUUUGAUUCCUUUUCACUAGGCCAGAAGCCCUGACCAAGGAGGACUUUAUGAAACACGCAAUAGCCUAGCUCGAAGUACAAUAUAUUCCCAUGUGCUCUAAAUGUUUUACUUGUAAACCAGAACGAAAAGCUGCUGAACUGUAAGACUUGAGGAAGUUAUUGCACAUCUUAUUAGAGAUUUUAUCUUAAUGUUCAUCUAGCUUCUACAAUUUUUACUCCAGUUACCAUGGUUACUUUCAUCAGCUCACACUGUGUGAAAAAAGACGACAAAAGACUGGGUUUUUUAGAUGUUAUGUGUCUUAAAACAUUUUGUGAAAUCAUCUUGCUGUUUGAUGAUGUAUUUGCUCAGUUUCAUAUGGAGAGUGACUUGAUUUGAAGCUAGGUGAAUCAUUACUGCUUCCUGUUUGAUGACACGUAUAUGUAUCACUAUGUACUUGAAUACAUGAGGGUGAUCCUGAACCCAUAUUGGUCUAUAGUCAAAUGAAUGUCAUGUGCCAUGAAGUGUGUAUUAUAUGUACAUUGGAUGUAUAAAUUUGUUCUUGUAUUUAGGAGGCAAACAUCUGAUUCUUCCUUUCAUAGACACAAAAUCAUUUCUGAGUGUUUUAGAGCGAAAUUUGCUUUCAGUCAUCAGUAGUAAGCCGAAUCUGUUGAAUGUUUCGCUUUAGAUGUUGAAACUAUCAAUCCUUAUUCAUCCUCAGUGAUCUUAGUAUAGCUCUUAUCAUAAAACAUACCUCAGAUUUCUGUAGUCAAAGCUUUAAUUAUGGUGGAUGGAUGUAUAUUUACGUGGUGUAAUUACAACAAAAUCAAAUUUUUGCCUCACUCUUGUAAAAAGCCAUAGUUAUCACCAGAACUAUUUUCAAAUCCUAAAAGGUCUAUAAACUUCAGUCUUUGAUUCUCAACAUGUCAUGUGGAAGUCAUGCAGUGUAUGGGUUAUGUGAUUGUCAUGUGACAGGUCAUGUGAUCAGUGUCAUGUACGUCAGGUGAUCAAUGUCAUGUGACCAAGUCACAUGGUAAGGUUGUAUUUUAUGGGCUAUUGUCCACUGCAAUUAAAGAUAUUUCAUCUUAAA
Molecule: unclassified non-coding RNA, 6515 nt
Filed under: Haliotis rubra (blacklip abalone)
Lineage: Eukaryota; Metazoa; Mollusca; Gastropoda; Lepetellida; Haliotidae
Description: heparan sulfate 2-O-sulfotransferase 1-like, transcript variant X1
Source: RNAcentral